Molecule: ribosomal RNA, 519 nt
Filed under: uncultured bacterium
Lineage: Bacteria
Description: bacterial SSU rRNA
Rfam family: Bacterial small subunit ribosomal RNA
Source: RNAcentral
AGAGUUUGAUUAUGGCUCAGGAUGAACGCUAGCGGCAGGCUAACACAUGCAAGUCGAGGGGCAGCGCGGUGUAGCAAUACACUGGCGGCGACCGGCGCACGGGUGCGUAACGCGCAUGCAACCUGCCUGUAACAGGGGGAUAACCCGGAGAAAUUUGGACUAAUACCGCAUAUUGCCGCGGGUCAGCAUUGGUUUGCGGCGAAAGGAGCGAUCCGGUUACAGAUGGGCAUGCGUGACAUUAGGUAGUUGGCGGGGCAACGGCCCACCAAGCCGACGAUGUCUAGGGGAACUGAGAGGUUAGUCCCCCACACUGGUACUGAGACACGGACCAGACUCCUACGGGAGGCAGCAGUGAGGAAUAUUGGUCAAUGGACGGAAGUCUGAACCAGCCAUGCCCGCGUGCGGGAGGAAGGCCCUACGGGUUGUAAACCGCUUUUACGGGGGAGCAAUAAGCGCCGUGCGCGGCGCGAUGAGAGUACCCCGGGAAUAAGCAUCGGCUAACUCCGUGCCAGCCGCCGC